UUUCGCACGAGCCUACGAUAGUAAAUACAAACUUGUUAAUGUCUUAAUAGUUUGUAUUUGGUCCACCAAUUGGAACCGAAAUUUAAAAAUUCCAAUCACCAGUUCACAUGUAUUUUGACAUGUAAAUAAGACAUUGGUAAUGUACAUAUACGAGAAUUUAAAUAAUAUUUAAAAUGGCACUGGAACUAAUUUUUGGACUUGGUGUUUUUUCUCUAGUAUUUUAUCAAAAUGCGGAUAAUAUACCUAAAUUUCUGAUAGGAUUAUUAAUUGUGGUAUUAAUAUUCAUUGUGGCUCAACAGCAGGACCAAAUACAUAUAAUCAAGGAUGAACUAGCUAAAGUUAGUGCUCUAUGUGAAAACAAUACGGAGGAGUUGAAAAAUGUUAUAUCAAAAAUGAAGACCAUGUUGCAAAAUUGACAUAAACUUCACGAAGGAUUAGACGAAACUGUAUAGGGAGAUGUGCAAGGUUCAUUUCACAUUAUACAUUUUUUACCCAACUGCAUUUUUACUCCAAUCAUCAAAGAUUUAGUAUGGCAUGACUAUUCUUAUUCAAAUCGUAUAAACCUGAAUUUCGAUCAAGGAUUUGUCCAUUAUGUAGACUCCACAGAAAUAAAAUGAAUGGAUUUAAUUCACAAUUCAUAAAGUUGCAUUCAACAAUGGAUAUUUGAGACUAUAAUUUAGUCAAGAUUUUAGAUCAAUGUCAUAUAGUCAUUUUUAGUAUUCCAUUUUUAAAUUAGUUAUUGUACAGGGUAAAAAUAUAGUUAAAAAAUGUUUCUAAUUCAUAAUCAGAUAACAGAAUUAGGCUAUAUAUGCAACAUUAUGUGAAUCUAUUCAAUGUUAUGAGGGCAUUUAUUAAAAUUACAAUGCAAACUAUUAAAUAUGUAAAAAGAAUUCAGACUCUAUUUUAAUUAUGCAGUGUAAUAUUGAAGAACAAUUAAUGUAUUGAAAAGGGAGGUAAGCUUAAAACUAAUGGGACAAUAAAAAUCAGUUGAACAAAGUGGAUGACACCUCCGGGUGCGAGAAUUUCUCGUUGCAUUGAAGACCUGAUGGUGACCUUCUGCUGUUGUCUGCUCUAUGGUCGGGUUGUUGUCUCUUUGGCACAUUCCCCAUUUCCAUUCUCAAUUUUAUUUCAAUAUUCAUGAUUAUAUUGAUUACUUUAUUCUACAUAAGUGUUAGGGUUGGGGGACCUGACCUUCCCCCUCUUUUUGCCUUAUGUAGCUUCAUGUUUGCUAAAGGCCUAAAUAUAUUACAUUUUUUUUGUACUAUCAUUGCUACAAACUAAAGAAGAAAUAGUUUGACUAUAUCAUAGGUAAAUGUGUUUUAUGAUGGACUUUUCUAAGGAGUUCUGAGGGCUGAGCCAUUGCAUUCAUGAAUUUCGCUAAUUAAAUUGUCAUGAUUUCAGGAUACAAUUACAUCAUAAUGCAAUGAACAGAGGCAUUUUUUACACCUAUAUUAUGGAUUUUACAAUAAAUAAUUUAAAUAUAUUUG
Molecule: long non-coding RNA, 1487 nt
Filed under: Mytilus galloprovincialis (Mediterranean mussel)
Lineage: Eukaryota; Metazoa; Mollusca; Bivalvia; Mytilida; Mytilidae
Source: RNAcentral